UACGUAGGGUGCAAGCGUUAAUCGGAAUUACUGGGCGUAAAGCGUGCGCAGGCGGUUUUGUAAGACAGGCGUGAAAUCCCCGGGCUUAACCUGGGAAUUGCGCUUGUGACUGCAAAGCUAGAGUACGGCAGAGGGGGGUGGAAUUCCGCGUGUAGCAGUGAAAUGCGUAGAUAUGCGGAGGAACACCGAUGGCGAAGGCAGCCCCCUGGGCCUGUACUGACGCUCAUGCACGAAAGCGUGGGGAGCAAACAGG
This 253-nucleotide ribosomal RNA is filed under the name uncultured bacterium. RNAcentral's name for it is "partial 16S ribosomal RNA". It matches the Rfam family "Bacterial small subunit ribosomal RNA", at positions 524 to 776 of the family's 1533-position model. The record is from RNAcentral.